This 423-nucleotide ribosomal RNA is filed under the name uncultured bacterium. RNAcentral describes it as "bacterial SSU rRNA". It matches the Rfam family "Bacterial small subunit ribosomal RNA", at positions 355 to 775 of the family's 1533-position model. The record is from RNAcentral.
UAAGGAAUAUUGGUCAAUGGGCGGAAGCCUGAACCAGCCAUGCCGCGUGCAGGAAGACGGCCCUAUGGGUUGUAAACUGCUUUUGCAGGGGAAUAAACCUCAUUACGUGUAAUGAGCUGAAUGUACUCUGAGAAUAAGGAUCGGCUAACUCCGUGCCAGCAGCCGCGGUAAUACGGAGGAUCCAAGCGUUAUCCGGAUUUAUUGGGUUUAAAGGGUGCGUAGGUGGCUUUUUAAGUCAGGGGUGAAAGACGGUAGCUUAACUAUCGCAGUGCCUUUGAUACUGAAGAGCUUGAAUAAACUAGAGGUAGGCGGAAUGUGACAAGUAGCGGUGAAAUGCAUAGAUAUGUCACAGAACACCAAUUGCGAAGGCAGCUUACUAUGGUUUUAUUGACACUGAGGCACGAAAGCGUGGGGAUCAAACAG